CGUGCAGGCGGUUUCGUAAGUUGUGCGUGAAAGCGCCCGGCUCAACCGGGCGAGGCCGUGCAAAACUGCGGAACUAGAGGCAGGUAGAGGCGUGUGGAAUUCCGGGUGUAGUGGUGAAAUGCGUAGAGAUCCGGAGGAACACCAGUGGCGAAGGCGACACGCUGGGCCUGAACUGACGCUAAGACGCGAAAGCAUGGGGAGCGAACG
This 207-nucleotide ribosomal RNA is filed under the name uncultured bacterium. Its description in RNAcentral is "partial 16S ribosomal RNA". It matches the Rfam family "Bacterial small subunit ribosomal RNA", at positions 568 to 774 of the family's 1533-position model. The record is from RNAcentral.